Molecule: small RNA, 71 nt
Filed under: Flavobacterium sp. 1
Lineage: Bacteria; Pseudomonadati; Bacteroidota; Flavobacteriia; Flavobacteriales; Flavobacteriaceae
Description: Flavo-1 RNA
Source: RNAcentral
CUUUAGCCCUGAUUGAUGUAAUUGCAUUUGUCUUUUUUAAAGCAAAAAUAUAGCACAGAGCAAGAACCCAU